GAUUACUCUGAUGAUUGCUCGACCAGCUAGUUGCACGCAAACCGCCAUCGCAACAUUUCUCUCGCCUUGCUCCUGCGAAAUCUGCUGCACCUCUUCAUUGUACGCGGGUGGCCUCAUGGCGAAACAGAGGCUUUUCAAAGGUCUCGCGAGGAGAAGCAAUAAGUGGAGCAUGUAAGACUAGUUCGUUACGGAGAAGUUAAUUGGUAAGUUAAUUUAUCUCUUCGUGGCAAAGAUGCACACUAUCGCGAUGGAAAACUUAUGACGUGCGCUCACGCGACCUCGUUUUUCGUGAACGUCUAUUUUUUAUCGCGGAAUUUCCCCGACGUGAGCAACACGAACCAACAACGUGGCCUGUCCUAUGUCAGUGACUUUUAUUGCGACUUUUACGUAUCUCUUUAAUAUACCACCGAUGUGUUAAAGAUUCUCUUGCUGCAUGUACGCUUUUAUACAAAAUUGAAUCAAAAAGUACAAAUGCAUAAAUUCUGCGAUCUUAGGCAGAAACAAAGUGCAACCAAAUAAACAAUCACACAAGAUUUUUGUUUAGCUACACAAAAUUGAUAUUGCAAAUUUGCGAUUAUUAUAUUUCUUAUUAUUAGUGCAUUUUGUUCAUUUCCUAGAUAGCACAGAACUCUCUCAGAAAAUAUUUAUUUUUUAUGUGAAAAUAAUUCUUUUUCUUUAUGAAUAAAUUUUUGUUGAGAAAAUAUACAGUCAGUAAUAUGAGAUAUACAAGGCGUAUGAGAAUAGCGUGAAUAAUAUGCUUGUUUAACAAUCUAUAUUCACUUUUAUAAUCACUUUAUAUUAUAUAUGGUAACAAUAUAAUGAGUGACAAUACAUCGGUUUGCAAUCGCCAAACGCACAACACCUUAAAUUAUGAUCACACAAAAAUACUCAUGGAUGGAUUUCACUAAUACGAAGACGUUUCGUAUAUUUAUUAAAUGCACGUGAACGAUUAAAAAAUCAGUCAAAAUUUACAUAAUUUUUUUCGCUUUGUUAGUAUCGCCAGUUAGGCCGAAGCAGUGUAGUAUUCUUUGAUUAUACAGUUUAACAGUCAAAGGCCUAUUCACACAUUUAGUGUUACAUGCGGCCAUCCAAUUGGUGGUAUCAAUAAGCAUAGAUUGAAUGCAUUUUCCGCAAAUAGAGCUCAGAAUCAGACGGCCAUAUCUGACGCUAAAUACAGUGCUAACUUUUUCUCUUCGAUAUAUAUCGUUUUCCUCAAUAUCGUAAAUACGCGUUCUCUAACGUGCGACCGUGUAGUUUAAUGUCACUCGGUAUAGUUAUACCGUUUCAUGGAUAUGUUCCGUGUUGUGGUUUAAAUUAUUUGGCACCAUGGAUAUUCGUAAAUAAAAUGUUUAAAAAAUUGUCAAAUUAUGACGUCUGUUUCUCCGUACGUAAUUGUAAAUUAAAAUUAGUUACUUAAUAAAUGAACAUCAUGAAUAGAUCAUAUAAUAUGAUUUAAAAUGCAUAAAAUAGCAUAAAUAUCAAAAACAGUUUUAUCAGACAUUUUUAAUAGUCAGAAAUCUCAAAACUGGUCCAUUCAAAGACUCCAAGAAAUCCUGAAACGUAUAUAAUAGUGCAGAAACAACUCAUGAUACAUUCAGAUCAUUUUCUUAAUAAAGACUCGACAAUGAGAGAAUUUAAAUGCUGAUAAGAAUACGAAGGAAAACGAUUUUAUCCAAAGACACGCGUGAAAUUUGUGAAAGUAUAAUUGAAAAUGAUUUUCAAAACGUGCAGAGAGUGUUUACACGUGUUUUGGUGUAAUGCAGGAUCGUACAUUAUAAUAAACCAUUAUGCUAUAUAAAUCAUCCUAUUAUCACGACAAAACAUUACUCGAAUCCAUAAACUUGUCUCAUAAAUUCGAUAAUGCGUCAUACAUUACACUAAUAAAUCUAAUAUAUCGCAUAAAUUAUUAUUAGAUCAAAUGUUUUUCAUUAGAUAUUCGAAGAGACGCACUAUUUUCAAGCAAAGCUAUAUAUUACAGAUUACGUGUAUCCUUUCGUAGAUGAAAACCAUCAUAUGUUGUAAAAAUAUACACGCAAUCUAUGAAUACAUUGUAAUAAUUAUUAUUAAUAAUAAUCCAUUAAUAUUAGUCUUAACGAGUGUUCUUUCUUGGUGAACGAUAUCUCAUCGUGGCAAUGUGUCCAAGUAUUACUCAGCUACACAUAUAACGCAAAUUGUAAUAUGCAAAUUGGUAAAAUCACUAGAAGUCCUUACGUACACGAAUUCGUUUUAUUACGUAUGUAACACAUAUUGUAGAAUUUUGAUUAAACCCGUAAAGCGCAAAAGCUACAUAUAAAACUGGACUGCGAUCAUUAACGUUAAUUUGAGUAAUAUAUAUAGAAACUAAUACAAAGUUUUUCUGAAAUCUAUAAACAAUCUAUAUCUCAAAUGCCAUUCGUACGUUAAAA
This 2405-nucleotide long non-coding RNA is filed under the name Ooceraea biroi (clonal raider ant). RNAcentral's name for it is "uncharacterized LOC105276684". Lineage: Eukaryota; Metazoa; Arthropoda; Insecta; Hymenoptera; Formicidae. The record is from RNAcentral.